CUCGGGAAGGGUGGCUACAUUCCCCAGACAGGUUGGCGCGUGGGGAGGACGCCUCCUGGAAGUGUUUUCGUUCGCGUGCUGGGCGCACGAACGCUGCUUGAGCACUGCUCCUGGUCGCCCGGAAGCAGUAUACCUGCCAGCAAGGUGUCACAGCAUUCGGACGCAUCCGUCAAAGACAACUGGUGCUGCUCCAGGAUCAUCAUGCUUGGGAAAGCAGGGUAAAUAUAACCAAAACAAGUUUUGGAAUCGUGACAGGAAAAAAGUGGCAGAAUUCUCUUUGAAGAUAUGGCACCAUGAACAGUUUUAUGUCGGUAUUGUGACCGCAGGAAGACAUAACUCAAGUCGACUUUCAUGCAAGUACUCCAUGGGGCCAUCCUGCUUAACACACCGCGCUACCGUGCUUUCCGCAACAAAUCGGGAUACGAACCAAGAAAAUGGUUUCGGCGGGAGACUGUGUCGACGGCAGGAAACAUCGCGCUGACAACGCUGGCAACAGCAACACCUAACGCCUGUUCCAUGGUUUAGUGAUUGUCGCAUCGGGCAUGAUAAGAGGGAAGUGUAUGGUCUGCGCAAGGGUGCUGUUGUCGAGGCAAUUUCGGUCAAAUACAUGAUGAAUAAACUUU
This is a long non-coding RNA of Pollicipes pollicipes, 623 nucleotides long. RefSeq lists it as uncharacterized. The record is from RefSeq and is a predicted model, not a curated record. Lineage: Eukaryota; Metazoa; Arthropoda; Thecostraca; Pollicipedomorpha; Pollicipedidae. The transcript has 5 exons.